RNAcentral lists this ribosomal RNA (324 nucleotides) under uncultured eukaryote. Its description in RNAcentral is "partial 18S ribosomal RNA". It matches the Rfam family "Eukaryotic small subunit ribosomal RNA", at positions 1470 to 1796 of the family's 1831-position model. The record is from RNAcentral.
CCCUUAGAUGCUCUGGGCCGCACGCGCGCUACACUGGUCGAUGCAACGAGUUUCUUUCCUUGGCCGACAGGCCUGGGCAAUCUUUGAACAUCGAUCGUGAUCGGGAUAGAUUCUUGUAAUUUUUGAUCUUAAACGAGGAAUUCCUAGUAAACGCAAGUCAUCAGCUUGCAUUGAUUACGUCCCUGCCCUUUGUACACACCGCCCGUCGCACCUGCCGAUUGAAUGGUCCGGUGAAAUCUCCGGACUGGCGUGAGUCGGAGCAAUCUGACAAACACCGGAAAGUUGAUUAAACCUUACCAUUUAGAGGAAGGUGAAGUCGUAACA